Molecule: long non-coding RNA, 359 nt
Filed under: Physcomitrium patens
Lineage: Eukaryota; Viridiplantae; Streptophyta; Bryopsida; Funariales; Funariaceae
Description: long non-coding RNA (PPAT_LNC009726)
Source: RNAcentral
UCUAAUUGAAAAACAUCCUCAUAUUAGAUGUCAUCUACUAAUGUGGCUAAAUCUAAGUCCCCUACUUCUUCUUGAUAGGUUGCAACCCCUUCUAAAAAGUUUACCAAAUACUCUCUAGUAGAAUCAAGGUGGUUUAUUAACCAUUGGGCAAAUUCUCUAUUAUCCUCUCAAUCAUACAACCUUAGGCCUAAACAACCUAUAGUAGUCAAGUUUAGAUUAGAUGUUUGGAUUUUUGAAUUGAAUUUUGGAAGAGUAAAUCUAACUUGUUUCUUCAAUCCUUCCAUCAUUAAUGGUUCAUACACAUCUUCUUCUAAAGAAUCACUAUACUCUGCCUUAUGGUAUAUUCUAUUAAUUUGAAU